AGUGAACGCUGGCGGUAGGCCUAACACAUGCAAGUCGAACGGCAGCACAGUAAGAGCUUGCUCUUACGGGUGGCGAGUGGCGGACGGGUGAGGAAUCCAUCGGAAUCUACUUUUUCGUGGGGGAUAACGUAGGGAAACUUACGCUAAUACCGCAUACGACCUACGGGUGAAAGCAGGGGAUCUUCGGACCUUGCGCGAUUGAAUGAGCCGAUGUCGGAUUAGCUAGUUGGCGGGGUAAAGGCCCACCAAGACGACGAUCCGUAGCUGGUCUGAGAGGAUGAUCAGCCACACUGGAACUGAGACACGGUCCAGACUCCUACGGGAGGCAGCAGUGGGGAAUAUUGGACAAUGGGCGCAAGCCUGAUCCAGCCAUACCGCGUGGGUGAAGAAGGCCUUCGGGUUGUAAAGCCCUUUUGUUGGGAAAGAAAAGCAGCAGGUUAAUACCCCGCUGUUCUGACGGUACCCAAAGAAUAAGCACCGGCUAACUUCGUG
RNAcentral lists this ribosomal RNA (492 nucleotides) under uncultured bacterium. Its description in RNAcentral is "partial 16S ribosomal RNA". It matches the Rfam family "Bacterial small subunit ribosomal RNA", at positions 29 to 507 of the family's 1533-position model. The record is from RNAcentral.